CCUACGUGAGGCUGCAGUAGGGAAUCUUCCACAAUGGGCGAAAGCCUGAUGGAGCAACGCCGCGUGGGUGAAGAAGGUCUUCGGAUCGUAAAACCCUGUUGUUAGAGAAGAAAGUGCGUGAGAGUAACUGUUCACGUUUCGACGGUAUCUAACCAGAAAGCCACGGCUAACUACGUGCCAGCAGCCGCGGUAAUACGUAGGUGGCAAGCGUUAUCCGGAUUUAUUGGGCGGAAAGGGAACGCAGGCGGUCUUUUAAGUCUGAUGUGAAAGCCUUCGGCUUAACCGGAGUAGUGCAUUGGAAACUGGGAGACUUGAGUGCAGAAGAGGAGAGUGGAACUCCAGGGGUAGCGGUGAAAUGCGUAGAUAUAUGGAAGAACACCAGUGGCGAAAGCGGCUCUCUGGUCUGUAACUGACGCUGAGGUUCGAAAGCGUGGGUAGCAAACAGGAUUAGAUACCCUAGUAGUC
This 465-nucleotide ribosomal RNA is filed under the name uncultured bacterium. Its description in RNAcentral is "partial 16S ribosomal RNA". It matches the Rfam family "Bacterial small subunit ribosomal RNA", at positions 338 to 795 of the family's 1533-position model. The record is from RNAcentral.